ACUUCGCGCUCUCAGCGUGAUAAACGAGGAGAAGAGAAUACUUUCGAGCUAAGCCGACGAGGUUGAGCGGUGGCGAGCGGGCGGUGGUGUUGAGUAGGAAACAAUAUCAUGAUCUGUUGGAACUAUAAGUGUCGUUGUGUCUCCAUACAUAGUCUCACUUCUUUCUUGGUCGCUUCCGCUAUAUUAUGAAAACUUGUGAUGAUCUUUUGGUUGGGUUGAAUUCUUUUACUUUUCGUGGGAAUAUGUUAGAUACAAAACAGAUGAGAUUACUUUGGAACUUUUGCUAUUUUUGAGCAUAUUUGGUGAUAACCUUUUGUUGGAUUUCAUUGCUAAGGCAUUAUUUCUCUCCUACUUAUUUGUUCA
Molecule: long non-coding RNA, 363 nt
Organism: Salvia hispanica
Lineage: Eukaryota; Viridiplantae; Streptophyta; Magnoliopsida; Lamiales; Lamiaceae
Source: RefSeq, a predicted model, not a curated record